AAAGGGAGCAACUCGUAGAAGAAUUCGAUCUUUUGGUUUAUCCUAGAAUAGAAUAGGCUCUUAGCCAGCUCGAGAAUUCACUCUUUUUUGAGAUGAGACAUUUAGGAUUGAGCUUUCCUUUCACGCUUUCACUAAGGAACAGAUGGGAUACUUAAUUAAGAAAGUUUCUUAACGGGUUAAGGCUAACCUCUUCUCAAUUCAAAAGGACUAUUAGCUUUCAGUAAAGGAGCAAGGCCAUCUAAGCCAAGCUAGCCCACAGCAUUACUACUACCAAAGCCAAUCCCAGGAAAGGUACGAGACUAUGCUAUCUACGAGUGGGUGGGACAUGAAAACCCGGGAAUUUUGUCCAUUCGGCUCUUUCCUUUAAUAAGUUAAAUAAAA
Molecule: unclassified non-coding RNA, 381 nt
Filed under: Hevea brasiliensis (rubber tree)
Lineage: Eukaryota; Viridiplantae; Streptophyta; Magnoliopsida; Malpighiales; Euphorbiaceae
Source: RNAcentral